UACCGGUCGUCCGGAGUACCGGGGCCGCGACCGUCUGAGCGAGGAACUGACUCAGCGGCAGUGCCGGAUACAGCCUGAUGCCGGGGAAGGUUUGGCCAAACCAUAUGGGAGGCCUAGAACUUUCCUCAGCUCACACAGGCAGUAGUGGCCCUGCCAGGGCUUGACCCAAGCUGUCUGAUUCUACAGAUCAGCCUGGACCCACCAGACCCUGGUGACUCCCCAUCACUUACACACCAGUGCACCUUUCCAAGCCAGUGUGACCUCCGACCAGUGUCAUCGGACCCCACAGGCACGGAAACAUGCACAAACACCCCGAGCUGUCGGGCCUCUGGCUAGCUCUAGGAAAACAGAAAACAGCUUAAGUUUCUUUAAUGGAACUAGAUGCACUGGAGCCUGUGUCCAGGAGAGCAAACCCGGGAAUGAGGGCCCGUGGCUGCCGCCAUGUGCAGAGGAGUCUUUUGAUUCCUAGUUGCCGAGAUCCUGGUUCUUGCAGGAGAAGAUGACCCGCGGGUUGGUGGUCCCACCCUCGUGUCCACAAGGAGUCCCCGGACAGAUGACAAGGCUGCUGCAAGGCAAGGCUGCUCCUUGCUGGACCCGCUGAAGAGGCAGCUGUGAUCUGGUCGACGGGAGGCGAAUGAGGCCCCAAGCUCAGCUUUUCUACCCGGAAUAGUUUGGCUCUGGCCAGACAGGUCCCCAGCAGACAUAGAAAGGGAACGCAGCUUCUCCACGCCAGUUCUCGUCCUGGACCCUCUCACUGGAACUCUCCCUGUGCCCUGGACAAGUGGAGCGCGGGGGCCGGACUGCACGUGGGAGGAGAUGGAGCUCCGAGCACAGGAACCCGGUAUGUUGUUUGGAUGUGCCCCGACUGCCUACUCCUCCACGGAAAACUGCGCUGUGGAGCCCGAUGCUUGUGACUCAUCACUGGAAUGUGUGACAGGAAAGGACUGUCCAGUAAAGAGGCGGAAGCAAGGGCACCAGAGGGCAAAGGGUGGGGCUCUUGGCCCUUCUCCAGUCCCUAUGGGAUUUCUGCCCCUGGUUUUAGGGCUUGGGGACUGUCCUUCCUCCUCCUCCCCAUCCCACCCACACCCUCUACUGCCCCCCCCACACUCCCCCUGCAUGUGGGCACACACGGGACUGCUGGUGCUUGUUGCCAGCAGCAGGGGCACCGCUGGGGCUCUGGGUCUGAGGUCUCCUCUGCAUCUGGCCUGGGGCUGUAGGUGACGCACUCUGUGCCUCUUAGUUCCACUAGCCAUUGUUCCUGGGGUCAGAGGAAGCAGAGCCUGCUCAGAGCCAGGCUCUGGAGCACCCCACAUCUGGAUGGUCUGGGGGCCUGGCUUACUCUAUGUCAGUGCGGGAGAAACGCCACG
Long non-coding RNA from Mustela erminea (ermine), 1367 nucleotides. RefSeq lists it as uncharacterized. The transcript is spliced from 5 exons. The record is from RefSeq and is a predicted model, not a curated record. NCBI's taxonomy places the organism in Eukaryota, Metazoa, Chordata, Mammalia, Carnivora, Mustelidae.